CCGGUGGUCUCCUGGGGCAGUAGCCUGACGGGCGGUGGAGGCGUGUGGGUGCCUGGUGGCCCUCCCGGUCUUCAAAACCGAGGUGCCCGAGG
This 92-nucleotide transfer RNA is filed under the name Streptomyces hygroscopicus subsp. jinggangensis TL01. RNAcentral describes it as "tRNA-Sec". The record is from RNAcentral. Lineage: Bacteria; Bacillati; Actinomycetota; Actinomycetes; Kitasatosporales; Streptomycetaceae.